AGAAUGACUCUCGGCAACGGAUAUCUAGGCUCUUGCAUCGAUGAAGAACGUAGCGAAAUGUGAUACUUGGUGUGAAUUGCAGAAUCCCGUGAACCAUCGAGUCUUUGAACGCAAGUUGCGCCCGAUGCCAUUAGGUUGAGGGCACGUCUGCCUGGGUGUCACA
RNAcentral lists this ribosomal RNA (163 nucleotides) under Trigonella gladiata. Its description in RNAcentral is "5.8S ribosomal RNA". It matches the Rfam family "5.8S ribosomal RNA". From Rfam's summary of the family: 5.8S ribosomal RNA (5.8S rRNA) is a component of the large subunit of the eukaryotic ribosome. It is transcribed by RNA polymerase I as part of the 45S precursor that also contains 18S and 28S rRNA. Lineage: Eukaryota; Viridiplantae; Streptophyta; Magnoliopsida; Fabales; Fabaceae. The record is from RNAcentral.